AGGUCAUAGUGAUCCGGUGGUUCUGAAUGGAAGGGCCAUCGCUCAACGGAUAAAAGGUACUCCGGGGAUAACAGGCUGAUACCGCCCAAGAGUUCAUAUCGACGGCGGUGUUUGGCACCUCGAUGUCGGCUCAUCACAUCCUGGGGCUGAAGUAGGUCCCAAGGGUAUGGCUGUUCGCCAUUUAAAGUGGUACGCGAGCUGGGUUUAGAACGUCGUGAGACAGUUCGGUCCCUAUCUGCCGUGGGCGCUGGAGAACUGAGGGGGGCUGCUCCUAGUACGAGAGGACCGGAGUGGACGCAUCACUGGUGUUCGGGUUGUCAUGCCAAUGGCACUGCCCGGUAGCUAAAUGCGGAAGAGAUAAGUGCUGAAAGCAUCUAAGCACGAAACUUGCCCCGAGAUGAGUUCUCCCUGACUCCUUGAGAGUCCUGAAGGAACGUUGAAGACGACGACGUUGAUAGGCCGGGUGUGUAAGCGCAGCGAUGCGUUGAGCUAACCGGUACUAAUGAACCGUGAGGCUUAACCUUACAACGCCGAAG
RNAcentral lists this ribosomal RNA (536 nucleotides) under Escherichia coli. Its description in RNAcentral is "partial 23S ribosomal RNA". It matches the Rfam family "Bacterial large subunit ribosomal RNA", at positions 2407 to 2925 of the family's 2925-position model. The record is from RNAcentral. Lineage: Bacteria; Pseudomonadati; Pseudomonadota; Gammaproteobacteria; Enterobacterales; Enterobacteriaceae.